Long non-coding RNA from Esox lucius (northern pike), 139 nucleotides. RefSeq lists it as uncharacterized. The record is from RefSeq and is a predicted model, not a curated record. The transcript has 3 exons. NCBI's taxonomy places the organism in Eukaryota, Metazoa, Chordata, Actinopteri, Esociformes, Esocidae.
CCACAGCAGGCCGAUGCAAUGGACCCCAUGAUGUCGUUACAGCAGCAACAGCUUCAGCAUCCCCAGGCUGGCCCCCAUGGCCCCAUGGCCCCCCAGGGUUCUCACCACAUGCAGGCCAUGCAGGCCGGGAGGCAGCUCA